Molecule: ribosomal RNA, 793 nt
Filed under: uncultured bacterium
Lineage: Bacteria
Description: bacterial SSU rRNA
Rfam family: Bacterial small subunit ribosomal RNA
Source: RNAcentral
AGCGGCAGACGGGUGAGUAAUACAUAGGUAAUCUACCUUCGAGCUUGGGAUAACCCCGCGAAAGUGGGGCUAAUACCGGAUAAGACCACGUGGCUUAAGUUACGUGGUAGAAGGUGGCUUGUAUUUAUACUGGCUAUCACUUGAGGAUGAGCCUAUGGCCUAUCAGCUUGUUGGCGGGGUAAAAGCCCACCAAGGCUAUGACGGGUAGUUGGUCUGAGAGGACGACCAACCACACUGGGACUGAGACACGGCCCAGACUCCUACGGGAGGCAGCAGUGGGGAAUAUUGGGCAAUGGGCGAAAGCCUGACCCAGCGACGCCGCGUGGGUGAUGAAGGCCUUCGGGUUGUAAAGCCCUGUCAUGCGGAAAGAACAGUCUUACGGUUAAUACCCGUGGGAUUUGACGGUACCGCAGGAGGAAGCACCGGCUAACUCCGUGCCAGCAGCCGCGGUAAUACGGAGGGUGCAAGCGUUGUUCGGAAUUAUUGGGCGUAAAGGGCGCGUAGGCGGUAAUGAAAGUCAGAUGUGAAAUACUUCGGCUCAACUGAAGAACUGCAUCUGAAACUUCAUAACUAGAGUACGGAAGAGGGAAAUGGAAUUCCCGGUGUAGAGGUGAAAUUCGUAGAUAUCGGGAGGAACACCAGUGGCGAAGGCGAUUUCCUGGUCUGGUACUGACGCUGAGGCGCGAAAGUGUGGGGAGCAAACAGGAUUAGAUAUCCUGGUAGUCCACACUGUAAACGGUGAACACUAGGUGUGGGAGGUGUAAUACCUUCUGUGCCGCAGCUAACGCGAUAA